CUAUGAGGAUGAUUCCAUCCGAACUCUCUCUUUCCGAUGCGCCCGUGGGGACGAGUUGAAGCUUCUGAGUGGC
Molecule: small nucleolar RNA, 73 nt
Organism: Echinops telfairi (small Madagascar hedgehog)
Lineage: Eukaryota; Metazoa; Chordata; Mammalia; Afrosoricida; Tenrecidae
Product: small nucleolar RNA SNORD26
Exons: 1
Source: RefSeq, a predicted model, not a curated record